RNAcentral lists this ribosomal RNA (574 nucleotides) under Pseudoalteromonas sp. J2119m. RNAcentral describes it as "bacterial SSU rRNA". It matches the Rfam family "Bacterial small subunit ribosomal RNA", at positions 116 to 692 of the family's 1533-position model. The record is from RNAcentral. Lineage: Bacteria; Pseudomonadati; Pseudomonadota; Gammaproteobacteria; Alteromonadales; Pseudoalteromonadaceae.
CUUGGGAACAUGCCUUGAGGUGGGGGACAACAGUUGGAAACGACUGCUAAUACCGCAUAAUGUCUACGGACCAAAGGGGGCUUCGGCUCUCGCCUUUAGAUUGGCCCAAGUGGGAUUAGCUAGUUGGUGAGGUAAUGGCUCACCAAGGCAACGAUCCCUAGCUGGUUUGAGAGGAUGAUCAGCCACACUGGAACUGAGACACGGUCCAGACUCCUACGGGAGGCAGCAGUGGGGAAUAUUGCACAAUGGGCGCAAGCCUGAUGCAGCCAUGCCGCGUGUGUGAAGAAGGCCUUCGGGUUGUAAAGCACUUUCAGUCAGGAGGAAAGGUUAGUAGUUAAUACCUGCUAGCUGUGACGUUACUGACAGAAGAAGCACCGGCUAACUCCGUGCCAGCAGCCGCGGUAAUACGGAGGGUGCGAGCGUUAAUCGGAAUUACUGGGCGUAAAGCGUACGCAGGCGGUUUGUUAAGCGAGAUGUGAAAGCCCCGGGCUCAACCUGGGAACUGCAUUUCGAACUGGCAAACUAGAGUGUGAUAGAGGGUGGUAGAAUUUCAGGUGUAGCGGUGAAAUGCGUA